AUUGAACGCUGGCGGCAGGCCUAACACAUGCAAGUCGAGCGGAUGAAGGGAGCUUGCUCCUGGAUUCAGCGGCGGACGGGUGAGUAAUGCCUAGGAAUCUGCCUGGUAGUGGGGGAUAACGUCCGGAAACGGGCGCUAAUACCGCAUACGUCCUGAGGGAGAAAGUGGGGGAUCUUCGGACCUCACGCUAUCAGAUGAGCCUAGGUCGGAUUAGCUAGUUGGUAGGGUAAAGUCCUACCAAGGCGACGAUCCGUAACUGGUCUGAGAGGAUGAUCAGUCACACUGGAACUGAGACACGGUCCAGACUCCUACGGGAGGCAGCAGUGGGGAAUAUUGGACAAUGGGCGAAAGCCUGAUCCAGCCAAGCCGCGUGUGUGAUGAAGGUCUUCGGAUUGUAAAGCACUUUAAGUUGGGAGGAAGGGCAGUAGGUUAAUACAUUGCUGUUUUGACGUUACCAACAGAAUAAGCACCGGCUAACUUCGUG
This 484-nucleotide ribosomal RNA is filed under the name uncultured bacterium. Its description in RNAcentral is "partial 16S ribosomal RNA". It matches the Rfam family "Bacterial small subunit ribosomal RNA", at positions 30 to 507 of the family's 1533-position model. The record is from RNAcentral.